This 1171-nucleotide ribosomal RNA is filed under the name Chrysis exsulans. RNAcentral describes it as "partial 16S ribosomal RNA". The record is from RNAcentral. Lineage: Eukaryota; Metazoa; Arthropoda; Insecta; Hymenoptera; Chrysididae.
AUUUAAAAUUAAUUUAAAUUUAUUAGGUAAAAAUUAAAUUUAAAUAAAUAAAUAGAAAUUUAUAGAUUUUAGUAUUAAUUAGAAAAAAAAAAUUAUAAGAAUUUUAUUGUAAAAGUUUUUUGAAAUUUUAAAAAGAAAAUUUAAUUUAUUGUACCUUUUGUAUCAGGGAUUAUUAAAAUAAAAUAUUAUAAUUAAUAGAUCUCGAAUUAAAAAGAGCUAAUUUAAUAUUAUAGUUAAUGUGGAAAAAUUAUUAUAAAUAUUAGAUUUGAAGUGAAAUGUUAAACGAUUUUUAAGAUAUCUAGUUUUUUAAUAAAAAAAUUUAAUUUUUUUAUAAAUUUAAUUAUAAAUUAUUUAAAAUUUAUAAUUAUUUUAUAAUUUAUAAUUUAUGGGAUUAACUAUAAAUUUAAAUUAAAUAAUUUAAGAAUUAAAUUAAGAAUUUAGAGAUUAAAAUUUUUAAAAUUUGAAAGGGUGUAAUAAUUUAUUAAUAUAUUGAUGAGUUAAAUUUUUAAGAAUAUUAAUUUGUUAUUAAAAUAAAUUUACGAAUUUUAUAAAAUUUAUAAUAAUGAUAAUAUAAGUAUAAAAAAUUGUUAAAUAAAUUUAAUUAAUAAAUUGAUCUAAGGAAUUAAGCAAAAUUUAAAAUUCACUUGUUUAUCAAAAACAUGUUUUUUUGAAAUUAAUGAAAAAUUUUCUCUGCCCAAUGAUAAAUUAAAUGGCCGCAGUAUUUUGACUGUGCAAAGGUAGCAUAAUAAAUAGUUUUUUAAUUGAAGACUUGAAUGAAUGAGAGGAUGAAAUUUUAACUGUCUCAAUUUUAAAAUAAAACUUUAUUUAAAGUUAAAAUUCUUAAAUUAGUUUAAGGGACGAGAAGACCCUAUAGAAUUUAAAAAUUUAAAUUAAUUUAAAAAUUAAAAUUAAAUUUAAUUUAAUAAAAUAUUUUUUUAUUGGGAUGAUAUUAAAAUUUAAAAAACUUUUAAUUGUUUAAUUCAAUAAUAUAUGAAUUAUAGAAUAUUUUAAUAAUAAAAAGAAAAAAUUACCUUAGGGAUAACAGCGUAAUAAAUUUUUAAAGUUCAAAUUAAAAAAUUUGAUUGCGACCUCGAUGUUGAAUUAAAAUAAAAUUUAAGUGAAGAAGCUUAAAAUUUAAGUCUGUUCGACUUUUAAAAUUUUACAUGAUUUG